Molecule: ribosomal RNA, 253 nt
Filed under: uncultured bacterium
Lineage: Bacteria
Description: partial 16S ribosomal RNA
Rfam family: Bacterial small subunit ribosomal RNA
Source: RNAcentral
UACAGAGGUGGCAAGCGUUGUUCGGAAUUACUGGGCGUAAAGGGCGCGUAGGCGGCCUUCUAAGUCAGACGUGAAAUCCCCCGGCUUAACCUGGGAACUGCGUCUGAUACUGGAGGGCUUGAGUAUGGGAGAGGGAUGUAGAAUUCCAGGUGUAGCGGUGAAAUGCGUAGAUAUCUGGAGGAAUACCGGUGGCGAAGGCGGCAUCCUGGACCAUUACUGACGCUGAGGCGCGAAAGCUAGGGGAGCAAACAGG